GCCGCUAUAGCUCAAUGGUAGAGCGCCGAUCUUGUAAAUCGGAGAUAGGGGUUCGAUUCCCUUUAGCGGUA
RNAcentral lists this transfer RNA (71 nucleotides) under Hymenobacter sp. RNAcentral's name for it is "tRNA-Thr". It matches the Rfam family "tRNA". Rfam says of the family: Transfer RNA (tRNA) molecules are approximately 80 nucleotides in length. Their secondary structure includes four short double-helical elements and three loops (D, anti-codon, and T loops). Lineage: Bacteria; Pseudomonadati; Bacteroidota; Cytophagia; Cytophagales; Hymenobacteraceae. The record is from RNAcentral.